RNAcentral lists this ribosomal RNA (859 nucleotides) under uncultured soil bacterium. RNAcentral describes it as "bacterial SSU rRNA". It matches the Rfam family "Bacterial small subunit ribosomal RNA", at positions 60 to 922 of the family's 1533-position model. The record is from RNAcentral.
AGUCGAGUGCGCGUGCCGUAGCAAUACGGUAUGGCGCACGGCGCACGGGUGCGUAACACGUGGGCAAUCUGCCCUCCGAUGGGGAAUAACUCCGGGAAACCGAAGCUAAUUCCGCAUAACAUUCCCUGGACUCCGGUUCGGGGAUUCAAAGCAGCAAUGCGUCGGAGGAGGAGCCCGCGCCCGAUUAGCUAGUUGGUGAGGUAACGGCUCACCAAGGCUAUGAUCGGUAGCUGGUCUGAGAGGAUGGCCAGCCACACUGGAACUGAGACACGGUCCAGACUCCUACGGGAGGCAGCAGUGGGGAAUCUUGCGCAAUGGGCGAAAGCCUGACGCAGCGACGCCGCGUGGGGGAUGAAGCUUCUCGGAGUGUAAACCCCUUUCGACCGGGACGAAUGCCCGCAAGGGAGUGACGGUACCGGUAGAAGAAGCCCCGGCUAACUACGUGCCAGCAGCCGCGGUAAGACGUAGGGGGCCAGCGUUGUUCGGAAUUACUGGGUGUAAAGGGUUCGUAGGCGGUGUGGCAAGUCGGGAGUGAAAUUUCUGGGCUUAACCCAGAACCUGCUUCCGAAACUGCUGUGCUGGAGUGUGGGAGAGGCGCGUGGAAUUGCAGGUGUAGCGGUGAAAUGCGUAGAUAUCUGCAGGAACACCCGUGGCGAAAGCGGCGCGCUGGACCACUACUGACGCUGAGGAACGAAAGCUAGGGGAGCAAACAGGAUUAGAUACCCUGGUAGUCCUAGCCCUAAACGAUCAGGACUUGGGGUGCCACCCGUUCGGGUGUCGUCCCGGAGCUAACGCGUUAAGUCCUGCACCUGGGGAGUACGGUCGCAAGACUGAAACUCAAAGGAAUUGACGGGGGCCC